UUGCAACUAAUUAAGCUGACCAGGUCCCUUUCCCCAGAGGGGCCUGGUUGCAAUGGUUGCAAACAGCAGCCUCCUUGGUAGUGUACGCAGCCUGAUACCUGUACGGGUUGCCCUAAGGGACCUUGGAGACAAUU
Molecule: small nucleolar RNA, 134 nt
Organism: Microtus ochrogaster (prairie vole)
Lineage: Eukaryota; Metazoa; Chordata; Mammalia; Rodentia; Cricetidae
Gene: SNORA70
Rfam family: Small nucleolar RNA SNORA70
About the family: snoRNA U70 seems to be exclusive to mammals and is a member of the H/ACA class of snoRNA which contain H (ANANNA) and ACA box motifs.
Source: Ensembl